Molecule: ribosomal RNA, 850 nt
Filed under: Suttonomyces cephalophylli
Lineage: Eukaryota; Fungi; Ascomycota; Dothideomycetes; Pleosporales; Massarinaceae
Description: partial large subunit ribosomal RNA
Rfam family: Eukaryotic large subunit ribosomal RNA
Source: RNAcentral
ACUUAAGCAUAUCAAUAAGCGGAGGAAAAGAAACCAACUGGGAUUGCCCUAGUAACGGCGAGUGAAGCGGCAACAGCUCAAAUUUGAAAUCUGGCUCCCUCUGGGGGUCCGAGUUGUAAUUUGCAGAGGGUGCUUUGGCGUUGGUGGCGGUCUAAGUUCCUUGGAACAGGACAUCGCAGAGGGUGAGAAUCCCGUUUGUGGUCGCCUACCUUCGCCGUGUAAAGCCCCUUCGACGAGUCGAGUUGUUUGGGAAUGCAGCUCUAAAUGGGAGGUAAAUUUCUUCUAAAGCUAAAUACUGGCCAGAGACCGAUAGCGCACAAGUAGAGUGAUCGAAAGAUGAAAAGCACUUUGGAAAGAGAGUCAAACAGCACGUGAAAUUGUUGAAAGGGAAGCGCUUGCAGCCAGACUUGCCCGUAGUUGCUCACCCAGGCUUUUGCCAGGGGCAUUCUUCUGCGGGCAGGCCAGCAUCAGUUUGGGCGGUCGGAUAAAGGCCUCUGUCACGUAUCUCCCUUCGGGGAGAACUUAUAGGGGAGGUGUAAUGCGACCAGCCCGGACUGAGGUCCGCGCAUCUGCUAGGAUGCUGGCGUAAUGGCUGUAAGCGGCCCGUCUUGAAACACGGACCAAGGAGUCUAACAUCUAUGCGAGUGUUUGGGUGUCAAGCCCGAGCGCGUAAUGAAAGUGAACGGAGGUGGGAACCCUUUGGGUGCACCAUCGACCGAUCCUGAUGUCUUCGGAUGGAUUUGAGUAAGAGCAUAGCUGUUGGGACCCGAAAGAUGGUGAACUAUGCUUGAAUAGGGUGAAGCCAGAGGAAACUCUGGUGGAGGCUCGCAGCGGUUCUGACGUGCAAAUC